CAGCCGCCGCGGUAAUACCGGCGGCCCGAGUGGCGGCCACUAUUAUUGGGCCUAAAGCGUCCGUAGCCGGGCUGGUAAGUCCCCCGGGAAAUCUGGCGGCUUAACCGUCAGAAUUCCGGGGGAUACUGCCAGCCUAGGGACCGGGAGAGGCCGGGGGUAUUCCCGGGGUAGGGGUGAAAUCCUGUAAUCCCGGGAGGACCACCUGUGGCGAAGGCGCCCGGCUGGAACGGGUCCGACGGUGAGGGACGAAGGCCAGGGGAGCGGACCGGAUUAGCUACCCGGGUAGUCCUGGCGGUAAACGAUGCGGACUAGGUAGCGGGCCAGCUCCGAGCUGGCGCGGUGCCGGAGGGAAGCCGUUAAGUCCGCCGCCUGGGGAGUACGGCCGCAAGGCUGAAACUUAAAGGAAUUGGCGGG
This 414-nucleotide ribosomal RNA is filed under the name uncultured microorganism. RNAcentral's name for it is "bacterial SSU rRNA". It matches the Rfam family "Archaeal small subunit ribosomal RNA", at positions 459 to 872 of the family's 1478-position model. The record is from RNAcentral.